AGCAGCCGCGGUAAUUCCAGCUCCAAUAGCGUAUAUUAAAGUUGUUGCAGUUAAAAAGCUCGUAGUUGAAUUUCGGGGUUAGUAGGUUGGUCGUGCCACUGGUAUGUACUGGUUCUACUGAUCCCUCCUUCUUGUAGAACCGUAAUGCCAUUCACUUGGUGUUGCGGGGAAACAGGACUGUUACUUUGAAAAAAUUAGAGUGUUUAAAGCAGGCUAACGCUUGAAUACAUUAGCAUGGAAUAAUGAAAUAGGACGUUCGAUCCUAUUUUGUUGGUUUCUAGGAUUGACGUAAUGAUUAAUAGGGAUAGUUGGGGGCAUUAGUAUUCAAUUGUCAGAGGUGAAAUUCUUGGAUUUAUUGAAGACUAACUACUGCGAAAGCAUUUGCCAAGGAUGUUUUCAUUAAUCAAGAACGAAAGUUAGGGGAUCGAAGACGAUCAGAUACCGUCGUAGUCUUAACCAUAAACUAUGCCGACUAGGGAUCGGAUGAUGUUAAUUUUUUAAUGACUCAUUCGGCGCCUUA
Molecule: ribosomal RNA, 520 nt
Filed under: uncultured Glomeromycotina
Lineage: Eukaryota; Fungi; Glomeromycota
Description: SSU rRNA
Rfam family: Eukaryotic small subunit ribosomal RNA
Source: RNAcentral